Armigeres subalbatus is the source of this 2392-nucleotide long non-coding RNA. RefSeq lists it as uncharacterized. Lineage: Eukaryota; Metazoa; Arthropoda; Insecta; Diptera; Culicidae. The transcript is spliced from 3 exons. The record is from RefSeq and is a predicted model, not a curated record.
UUAAGGCACAUGAAACCCUACAAAUUCAUUUUAUUUUAACUUCAAGGGACCAAAGAAAUCCAUAAAUUUACCUUAUAAAAAUCAUAGCAAUUUCUUGUGUAAAAUAAUCAUAAGGCAUCCUUAUGAAUAAUUCUUGUUCAUUCAAACGUUCACGCUGAUCUGUCAGAAAAAAAUGGCUCGCUUCAUCCUUGCCCAUGUGGCCCAAUAAGGAAGUAGCUGAAAUUAAGUUUUUCUCUUUAAGAAUACGUCGAACGAACAUCAACCAUCUAUAUAUUGUGCUGCAGAAAUACGAGAUCCAUUGUGCUGUUCUUCCUGGUCAGGCCAAUGUUUUUCCAUGGAAAACGCCAUUAUUCAAAACACGAUCAACUGUACAAAGUGAUCAGAACAUUACCCCUCGUGAAAUGGAGUCCAAUAUCUGGAAGUAAAUGGACCGAAUCUUUUUAACCGCUGCACCCAAAAGUCAGCAAAGCACGAUGCCUCUUCCCACGGAGCACAGCAUACUGCAGGACAGCCACUUUUAACAGACUUUGGAGAGAAAAAAAGUCCAGGCAGAGCAACAGCGGAGACAGCAAUAGUGAUCAAAAUAAAUAUCGUCGCUACUCAUCGUUCAAUAUGUUCAAAAAGCAGGAAGCUUGUCAUCCUUGAACGACGUAUCAUCUAACUAGGAAUUAAGAAGAAAUUCUGGCAUGCGAUUCGAAUUCCAAUUCGAGAGCAAACGAGUGUAAAUUUAAUUUAUAGAGGAAAGAGGGGCAAGAUCGCCAUAUGGGGCAAGACAGCCAACGUUGAUUAUGAUUUAAGUGAGCAAUAUAUUCACAUUAUUAUUACGAGGGAUGGUUAACAAUAAUGUAAAAGGGCUAUUCAACUGAAAAAUGCACUUUGACAACCUUACUUGUUCUUGAAAUAUUGAUUAAGAUGAUGUAGUUGAAAUUCGAAUUUUCUUAUAAUUUUGUAGAUACACAACUCAAGGUUUGAAGCUAAAAUUACUAUUUUUUCAGCACAAAUUAAUAUUUACCAAAGCUCUUAUAUAACUAUAGGUUAUCUACAAUAAUAAUUUAAGAAGAUUAACAGUAAUUAUGAUCGAUAGGACUAAAAUCUUUGGGCGGUAUUGCAAACUAUAUUAAGAACAUGAAACAUACUGUACAUUAUAGUGAUCAAACUCGCAACUCGUACCAAAAUGUAAUAAUAUGCAAUCAAUUAUAUGAUAUGUAAUCCAAUAGAUACCGUAAAAAAAACAAACUUAUUAUCUAAGAAUCCAAUUCAAUUAUUCAACAACUAUUUAUUAUUUUAUCUUACUAUUUUUGUUUAUUUUUCCUAACUUAGCCCAAUACAACUUCAAUUUAUUAAUAAUUCUAAAUUCUCGGCCCCACGUUGGGCGCCAAAAUGAAACCUUUCCCCGUGUCCGUUGGUUCAACCAACGGUCGUUUCUAUCAAAUCAACACAAGUUAGGCAGCGAAAGAGGACAGGUUAUCAAUUCCUGUGACUUAAGCGCCACUCUUCGGAAAGAGGCCACAGGAACAGUUUAGUCCGGCCAGAGACUUCUCCUCAGGGCAGGUUUGGUAUUUCCCAGUCUCACUCGAACUUACCUUAAUUGAAGCUGUAGAAAGAAACUUAAAAUCUAACGGGCUUGCGUCUUAAAUAUCUCAAACGGAUCUGCUCGAACGAUCUCAUUAAAGUUUGGUGCAGUCGGUAUUAAAUUCAAAAAUUCUAGCAGUUGGAGAGCACGCCAAUUAAUUAGUAUUUAUUUUGCAAUCUAAUCUAAGUGUAUAUACAAAUCCAAAAGAUUCCAAAUUUAUUUAAUAAUUUAUUUCCUAUCAACAGGAAAUGGACGAACGCGAAGCAAAACUGUGAGCUUCCGUCGACUGAAUCUAUUUGGCGCCAAAUCUACUGCUAGAUUACAAUUUUAAUUUCGAGCUCUUUCAAUUUCUUCGUGCACUAGCUUACGGUUUUGGGUUCCUUCCUCCAGGAUGAGCGAAGCGAAGGCAGAAUGUCGACGGUUCCUGGAUCCGACCCACGUGUCCAACUUCGUCAGAAUGGCCGCACCGCGUGGCUUAUCGCACAAUGGAAUCAGCCACUCACGAGGUGGAUUUGUCCUCGGACCGAUACUGGUGGAUGCUAAGCGGCUUGCCAACCGACGGAAUCCAAUUGUCUGGCCGGAUCGUAGGGUCCCAAAUAACCACCCACUUUGGGAUGGGGUUUAACCUACCCAAAGUGCACUUUCAUUAUUCUGUUCGCACAUCAUUUCAACUCAGUCACAUGUGCUUACCUGAUUCAAUCUCCGAAGGCUCACAACAGGCACUUUCAAACGUAAAAAUGUAUUUAGGAACCGAAACGCGAUAAACCUAAAUUGGGAAAUUUUUAGAAAUUGCGUAUACACUUAUUUAAAUCAUUUGAC